AUGGACAAAGCCUCGAGCGCCGGGGCCAUCAUCGUCCUCGUCGCCUUUGUCGCCCUCAUCCCGGCCGCCAUCGCCCAAGUAUGCCCGCCGCUGCGACCAGGCGAGCAAACCCACAACAAGAGCAGCAACAUGACGAGGUUCGUGUGCAACAUCGAGGACCGCAUGGGGAACAAGAACUACGAGAUGAGCUUCGCCUGCAACAACAAAAUGUCCUUCGACCUCAACGACGGCGGCUCGACCACGUCGUUGUGCUACAACGGCGUGCUUGGCCGGGCCGCCCCUCCGCCGCCAGCCAUUGGGUGGAGCAGUCCGCAGCAGGUCAACCCGCCUAGCCCCAGGGUGAUGUGCCGGUGGACGUACGCCGGGAACAUCAUGGACGGGGUGGUGGUGUGGGACGAGGAGUGGCCGGAGGCCUGGUCGUGCAGGGAGGGGGGCGGCGGGAUGUGCAGGCUCGUGUUCGAGAACAGGGUGGUGACCCUCGUCACGGCCAAGGGGAGGAGGGUGAUGGGCGACGUCGCCAUUAAGGAGUGCAGCAAGAACUGGUUCGGGUGGCUGCCGUUCGGGCUCGGCUGCACCUACCCCACGCAUGAGCACCCAUACAUCGGCGCCAUCGUGGAGUAA
This 621-nucleotide ribosomal RNA is filed under the name Triticum aestivum (bread wheat). RNAcentral's name for it is "partial small subunit ribosomal RNA". Lineage: Eukaryota; Viridiplantae; Streptophyta; Magnoliopsida; Poales; Poaceae. The record is from RNAcentral.